UACGUAGGGGGCAAGCGUUGUCCGGAUUUAUUGGGCGUAAAGAGCGUGUAGGCGGCUUGGUAGGUCCGCUGUGAAAACUCGAGGCUCAACCUCGAGAUGUCGGCGGAAACCACUUGGCUAGAGUCCGGAAGAGGAGAGUGGAAUUCCUGGUGUAGCGGUGAAAUGCGCAGAUAUCAGGAAGAACACCCGUGGCGAAGGCGGCUCUCUGGGACGGUACUGACGCUGAGACGCGAAAGCGUGGGGAGCGAACAGG
This 253-nucleotide ribosomal RNA is filed under the name uncultured bacterium. RNAcentral's name for it is "partial 16S ribosomal RNA". It matches the Rfam family "Bacterial small subunit ribosomal RNA", at positions 524 to 776 of the family's 1533-position model. The record is from RNAcentral.